This 87-nucleotide transfer RNA is filed under the name Tilletia indica. Its description in RNAcentral is "tRNA-Ser". It matches the Rfam family "tRNA". From Rfam's summary of the family: Transfer RNA (tRNA) molecules are approximately 80 nucleotides in length. Lineage: Eukaryota; Fungi; Basidiomycota; Exobasidiomycetes; Tilletiales; Tilletiaceae. The record is from RNAcentral. RNAcentral also lists the same sequence under 1 other name.
GGACAAACUGCCAUAGGUGAAGUGUAGGCGAUUGCUAAUUGUCUGGAAUAUUCUAAUUCCUUAGGAGUUCGAAUCUCCUUUUGUCCG